Molecule: ribosomal RNA, 496 nt
Filed under: uncultured bacterium
Lineage: Bacteria
Description: partial 16S ribosomal RNA
Rfam family: Bacterial small subunit ribosomal RNA
Source: RNAcentral
GAUGAACGCUGGCGGCGUGCCUAAUACAUGCAAGUCGAGCGAACAGACGAGGAGCUUGCUCCUUUGACGUUAGCGGCGGACGGGUGAGUAACACGUGGGUAACCUACCUAUAAGACUGGGAUAACUUCGGGAAACCGGAGCUAAUACCGGAUAAUAUUUCGAACCGCAUGGUUCGAUAGUGAAAGAUGGCUUUGCUAUCACUUAUAGAUGGACCUGCGCCGUAUUAGCUAGUUGGUAAGGUAACGGCUUACCAAGGCAACGACACGUAGCCGACCUGUGAGGGUGAUCGGCCACACUUGACCUGUGACGCGCUCCAGACCCCUACGAGGGGCAGCAGUAGGGAAUUCUACGAGAUGGACGAGAUCCUGACUGAGCAACUCGACGUGAGUGAUGAAGGACUUCGAAACGUAAAACUUUCUUCUUGGGGCAAAACAAGCGUUAAGGUAACUGUUACCGUCAUGGCCGAACUUAUCCGGAAGGCCUCGACAAGCUUAAU